AGUGAACGCUGGCGGUAGGCCUAACACAUGCAAGUCGAACGGCAGCACAGUAAGAGCUUGCUCUUACGGGUGGCGAGUGGCGGACGGGUGAGGAAUACAUCGGAAUCUACUUUUUCGUGGGGGAUAACGUAGGUAAACUUACGCUAAUACCGCAUCCGACCUACGGGUGAAAGCAGGGGAUCUUCGGACCUUUCGCGAUUGAAUGAGCCGAUGUCGGAUUAGCUAGUUGGCGGGUUAAAGGCCCACCAAGGCGACGAUCCGUAGCUGGUCUGAGAGGAUGAUCAGCCACACUGGAACUGAGACACGGUCCAGACUCCUAAGGGAGGCAGCAGUGGGGAAUAUUGGACAAUGGGCGCAAGCCUGAUCCAGCCAUACCGCGUGGGUGAAGAAGGCCUUCGGGCUGUAAAGCCCUUUUGUUGGGAAAGAAAAGCAGCAGGUUAAUACCCCGCUGUUCUGACGGUACCCAAAGAAUAAGCACCGGCUAACUUCGUG
RNAcentral lists this ribosomal RNA (492 nucleotides) under uncultured bacterium. Its description in RNAcentral is "partial 16S ribosomal RNA". It matches the Rfam family "Bacterial small subunit ribosomal RNA", at positions 29 to 507 of the family's 1533-position model. The record is from RNAcentral.